RNAcentral lists this ribosomal RNA (146 nucleotides) under Cyrtandra hawaiensis. RNAcentral describes it as "5.8S ribosomal RNA". It matches the Rfam family "5.8S ribosomal RNA". Rfam says of the family: 5.8S ribosomal RNA (5.8S rRNA) is a component of the large subunit of the eukaryotic ribosome. It is transcribed by RNA polymerase I as part of the 45S precursor that also contains 18S and 28S rRNA. The record is from RNAcentral. Lineage: Eukaryota; Viridiplantae; Streptophyta; Magnoliopsida; Lamiales; Gesneriaceae.
AACGACUCUCGGCAACGGAUAUCUCGGCUCUCGCAUCGAUGAAGAACGUAGCGAAAUGCGAUACUUGGUGUGAAUUGCAGAAUCCCGUGAACCAUCGAGUCUUUGAACGCAAGUUGCGCCCGAAGCCGUCAGGUUGAGGGCACGUC